RNAcentral lists this transfer RNA (73 nucleotides) under Heterocephalus glaber (naked mole-rat). It matches the Rfam family "tRNA". From Rfam's summary of the family: Transfer RNA (tRNA) molecules are approximately 80 nucleotides in length. Their secondary structure includes four short double-helical elements and three loops (D, anti-codon, and T loops). Lineage: Eukaryota; Metazoa; Chordata; Mammalia; Rodentia; Bathyergidae. The record is from Rfam by way of RNAcentral.
AGUGGUGUGACUCAGUGGUAGGAUGCUUUGCCUAUCAUGCAUGAGGUUCUGGGUUCAAUCCCCAGCACAACAA